This 272-nucleotide ribosomal RNA is filed under the name uncultured fungus. RNAcentral describes it as "partial small subunit ribosomal RNA". It matches the Rfam family "Eukaryotic small subunit ribosomal RNA", at positions 1360 to 1591 of the family's 1831-position model. Lineage: Eukaryota; Fungi. The record is from RNAcentral.
CCGGUUUAACCGUAAACGUAAACCGGAAACGGAACCGUUAAACCCUUACGUCUAAUAAGUACGUAGGCCGGCUUUUGCUGGUCGCAGACUUCUUAGAGGGACUGUCAGCGUCUAGCUGACGGAAGUUUGAGGCAAUAACAGGUCUGUGAUGCCCUUAGAUGUUCUGGGCCGCACGCGCGCUACACUGACAGAGCCAGCGAGUUCUCACCUUGGCCGGAAGGUCUGGGUAAUCUUGUGAAACUUUGUCGUGCUGGGGAUAGGGCAUUGCAAUC